AUGAACGUCACAGGAGCAGCAUCCAUGGCCGGCAGAAACACUAAGCAACCUAGUCUAAAUUGGGCGAGGCUUGCCUGCUCCGCGAAAAUGCUCCCAUCCGUGCUCCGUGGCAAAGCAGUAGCUCUUCCACGGCCGGCGAACACCGCGAUGUUGAUCUGCUUGCUUGUCGGAGCGGGAGGGUUUGCUCCGUGCUCGUCCCAUCGCGGCGCUCGUGAGCGAACUGCGCACCAACCCUGCGGCCACGACGUCCCUCGCCCCGCGCGGCGCUCGUAG
Molecule: ribosomal RNA, 273 nt
Filed under: Triticum aestivum (bread wheat)
Lineage: Eukaryota; Viridiplantae; Streptophyta; Magnoliopsida; Poales; Poaceae
Description: partial small subunit ribosomal RNA
Source: RNAcentral